This 752-nucleotide long non-coding RNA is filed under the name Equus asinus (donkey). RNAcentral's name for it is "lncRNA (ENSEASG00005037843.1)". Lineage: Eukaryota; Metazoa; Chordata; Mammalia; Perissodactyla; Equidae. The record is from RNAcentral.
GAGGGCCUCCAGGGUGGUGAAUACAUGGAGGUGCUUGGAGGUUGGAACAACUCUAUGAAGGCAGAAGCUCCUGCACUUGGGACCCUUCUGGACCUCGUACUGUGUACCUCUUCAUCUGGCUGUUCACUGUAUACUUUAUAGUAAACCAGUAAAUCCCAACACCAUCACAAUUAAUCUCUUGAGAGGAAUAUUCUUUGGGUUCACAGAAGAUGAAAUCUGAACAACUACCAGAGAUAGAUGGAAAAUCUGGAGAAGCCAAGUUAAUAAAGACCUUCCCCUUUUGUCUUCUGUUCUCACUUCCUAAAAAACCUAAUAAGGCCAUGGGUAACCAACCAACCCAGUUUGCAGGUGGGACUUUUUAGUGCUAGAGCCACUCUGUGACUGAUACCAAAAAUGUGGCUCUAGAUUGUAAUAUAAAAGAUAAAGCAGAUUCUGGGGAUUCAGCUUUUGCUUUGGAAAUUCUACUAGGGAAACCAAGGCAUUGUAAGAUGUUGCAGCUGUCUGUGAUUUCAUUGUGUCUAUGUUUUGGUCUUAAAUUUACUAGUGACGUGGGUCUUGUUUGAGGGGGUAUUCUGAUGGGUCUUAUUAACCCAUUGAAUCUUUGAAUAACAAUAGAGACUUCCUUUUCUCUUGGAAUUAAUUCUCUUGGGUAAGUAACUCAUCCUGUUUUGCCUGGAACUUUCCCACUUGUAGCCCUGAAAGUCCUGCAUCCUUGGAAAUCCCCCAGUCUUGGGUAAAUGAGAAAGGUCAUG